This 86-nucleotide microRNA precursor is filed under the name Novosphingobium sp. SG754. Its description in RNAcentral is "microRNA MIR1846". The record is from RNAcentral. Lineage: Bacteria; Pseudomonadati; Pseudomonadota; Alphaproteobacteria; Sphingomonadales; Sphingomonadaceae. RNAcentral also lists the same sequence under 12 other names.
CAACCCCCCGGCCCCCUCCUCUGAAGAGGAGGGGGGGAUUGGCAUCGGAAGCCCCCUCCUCUUCAGAGGAGGGGGUUUGGGGGUGG